RNAcentral lists this ribosomal RNA (450 nucleotides) under uncultured Bacillota bacterium. RNAcentral describes it as "bacterial SSU rRNA". It matches the Rfam family "Bacterial small subunit ribosomal RNA", at positions 917 to 1359 of the family's 1533-position model. The record is from RNAcentral. Lineage: Bacteria; Bacillati; Bacillota.
GGACCCGCACAAGCGGUGGAGCAUGUGGUUUAAUUCGACGCAACGCGAAGAACCUUACCAGGGCUUGACAUCCCGCGCUAUCCAUGGAAACAUGGAGUUCGUGCCUUCGGGCAUGACGCGGAGACAGGUGGUGCAUGGUUGUCGUCAGCUCGUGUCGUGAGAUGUUGGGUUAAGUCCCGCAACGAGCGCAACCCCUACUUUUAGUUGCCAGCAUUAACGUUGGGCACUCUUAGAGGAACUGCCGGUGACAAACCGGAGGAAGGUGGGGACGACGUCAAAUCAUCAUGCCCUUUAUGUCCUGGGCUACACACGUGCUACAAUGGCCGGUACAGAGGGUUGCAAAGCGGUGACGCGGAGCGAAUCCCAAAAAGCCGGUCUCAGUUCGGAUUAGCAGGCUGCAACCCGCCUGCAUGAAGUUGGAAUCGCUAGUAAUCGCGAGUCAGCAUAUCG